UACGGGGGGGGCAAGCGUUGUUCGGAAUUACUGGGCGUAAAGGGCUCGUAGGCGGCCAACUAAGUCAGACGUGAAAUCCCCCGGCUUAACCUGGGAACUGCGUCUGAUACUGGCAGGCUGGAGGAACGGAGAGGUGAGUGGAAUUCCUGGUGUACCGGUGAAAUGGGUUGAUAUCAGGAGGAACACCGAUGGCGAAGGCAGCUCACUGGCCGUCAUCUGACGCUGAGGCGCGAAAGCGUGGGUAGCAAACAGG
This 253-nucleotide ribosomal RNA is filed under the name uncultured bacterium. Its description in RNAcentral is "partial 16S ribosomal RNA". It matches the Rfam family "Bacterial small subunit ribosomal RNA", at positions 524 to 776 of the family's 1533-position model. The record is from RNAcentral.